Hemicordylus capensis (graceful crag lizard) is the source of this 716-nucleotide long non-coding RNA. RefSeq lists it as uncharacterized. The transcript is spliced from 4 exons. The record is from RefSeq and is a predicted model, not a curated record. Lineage: Eukaryota; Metazoa; Chordata; Lepidosauria; Squamata; Cordylidae.
GCCAGCGAGGAAGGAGGAGGCAGCCAGAGAGGCCUCCACUGUUCUCUGCAGCAGAAGACCCCUUGCUGCCAGAAACACAUCUAAUCUCGAUCAAGGUUCCCUCUGAGCACAUGCAAUGCUGUAAAUAACCCACUGCUGCAGCUCUGAUGGGUAUUGGUGGGCAGAGGGAAGAAUUGUGAUGGAGAGUCAGCUUCCCAUAUGACAAGCUGUAAACAUGAGAAAUUACUGCUCAGAGCCCACAGCUUACAUCUUUACCAGCUCAGCUUCCAGCUAGAAGAUUGUAACUUCUACUUGUAACUCGGACCUUCCCCCCACCCACCCCUACACUGGUAUCUCUGCGUUGACAAGAUGUUUUAUGGCUGGUACGGGAUGGGACCCCUGCAGUGGAAGUUUUGCUCUGCCUGAAUUAACCUUAAUACCUUAAUACUCAUAACCUUAACUUUAAUACUCAUGUAUAUGUUCCUGCCUUGUUCCUUUUUGUUUUUGCUCGUUUCGGCUCUCCCCUCUGUACUCUGUUUAACUGUUAGAUUUGUAAUUUUACUGAUGGUAAGACUGAGUCCUAUGUUAACAUUUCCUAUUCUAUAAUUAUACACACACACACACACACACAUAUAUAAAUAUAUACAAUCACCAUUGUAUCUUGCAUAUAGAGGAGUUUUGUUUAUGCUGGAUAAGCUUCUGUGUGUAAUCAUGUAUACUCUCAGAGAUGUAACCUU